RNAcentral lists this microRNA precursor (205 nucleotides) under Oryza brachyantha (malo sina). RNAcentral describes it as "MIR812 microRNA precursor family". It matches the Rfam family "MIR812 microRNA precursor family". The record is from Rfam by way of RNAcentral. Lineage: Eukaryota; Viridiplantae; Streptophyta; Magnoliopsida; Poales; Poaceae.
AAUAAACCAAUUUUCCACUUUUUACCUUUAAUUUUUGACUCUUCGUCUUAUUUAAUUUUUUUGCGAUUGAUAUUUUUAUUUUUAUUAGAUGAUAAAUCAUGAAUAGUACUUUACGUGUAACUAAUUUUUUUUAAAUUUCUUAAAAAAUUUUCAAAUAAGACGGAUGGUCAAACGUUAGACACGGAAAACAGAGAAUUCGUUUUUU